RNAcentral lists this ribosomal RNA (2387 nucleotides) under Salmonella enterica subsp. diarizonae. RNAcentral describes it as "partial 23S ribosomal RNA". It matches the Rfam family "Bacterial large subunit ribosomal RNA", at positions 531 to 2800 of the family's 2925-position model. Lineage: Bacteria; Pseudomonadati; Pseudomonadota; Gammaproteobacteria; Enterobacterales; Enterobacteriaceae. The record is from RNAcentral.
GAGGGGAGUGAAACAGAACCUGAAACCGUGUACGUACAAGCAGUGGGAGCCCCACCACUAAGCCAGUGGUGAACUCCACAUACGCAUCCUUUGCGGAAGAUGCGGUUAACGGAGCGAAAGCGACGUUCAACCUCAGAAGAAGCAGAGGGGGCUUAGUGGUGGGGUGACUGCGUACCUUUUGUAUAAUGGGUCAGCGACUUAUAUUCUGUAGCAAGGUUAACCGCAUAGGGGAGCCGAAGGGAAACCGAGUCUUAAUUGGGCGUUAAGUUGCAGGGUAUAGACCCGAAACCCGGUGAUCUAGCCAUGGGCAGGUUGAAGGUUGGGUAACACUAACUGGAGGACCGAACCGACUAAUGUUGAAAAAUUAGCGGAUGACCUGUGGCUGGGGGUGAAAGGCCAAUCAAACCGGGAGAUAGCUGGUUCUCCCCGAAAGCUAUUUAGGUAGCGCCUCGUGAAUUCAUCUCCGGGGGUAGAGCACUGUUUCGGCUAGGGGGCCAUCCCGGCUUACCAACCCGAUGCAAACUGCGAAUACCGGAGAAUGUUAUCACGGGAGACACACGGCGGGUGCUAACGUCCGUCGUGAAGAGGGAAACAACCCAGACCGCCAGCUAAGGUCCCAAAGUCAUGGUUAAGUGGGAAACGAUGUGGGAAGGCCCAGACAGCCAGGAUGUUGGCUUAGAAGCAGCCAUCAUUUAAAGAAAGCGUAAUAGCUCACUGGUCGAGUCGGCCUGCGCGGAAGAUGUAACGGGGCUAAACCAUGCACCGAAGCUGCGGCAGCGACACUUUAGUGUUGUUGGGUAGGGGAGCGUUCUGUAAGCCGUUGAAGGUGUCCUGUGAGGGGUGCUGGAGGUAUCAGAAGUGCGAAUGCUGACAUAAGUAACGAUAAAGCGGGUGAAAAGCCCGCUCGCCGGAAGACCAAGGGUUCCUGUCCAACGUUAAUCGGGGCAGGGUGAGUCGACCCCUAAGGCGAGGCCGAAAGGCGUAGUCGAUGGGAAACGGGUUAAUAUUCCCGUACUUGGUGUUACUGCGAAGGGGGGACGGAGAAGGCUAUGUUGGCCGGGCGACGGUUGUCCCGGUUUAAGCGUGUAGGUGUGUGUUCCAGGUAAAUCCGGUUCACUUUAACACUGAGGCGUGAUGACGAGGCACCACGGUGCUGAAGCAACAAAUGCCCUGCUUCCAGGAAAAGCCUCUAAGCAUCAGGUAACAUCAAAUCGUACCCCAAACCGACACAGGUGGUCAGGUAGAGAAUACCAAGGCGCUUGAGAGAACUCGGGUGAAGGAACUAGGCAAAAUGGUGCCGUAACUUCGGGAGAAGGCACGCUGACACGUAGGUGAAGUGAUUUACUCAUGGAGCUGAAGUCAGUCGAAGAUACCAGCUGGCUGCAACUGUUUAUUAAAAACACAGCACUGUGCAAACACGAAAGUGGACGUAUACGGUGUGACGCCUGCCCGGUGCCGGAAGGUUAAUUGAUGGGGUCAGCGCAAGCGAAGCUCCUGAUCGAAGCCCCGGUAAACGGCGGCCGUAACUAUAACGGUCCUAAGGUAGCGAAAUUCCUUGUCGGGUAAGUUCCGACCUGCACGAAUGGCGUAAUGAUGGCCAGGCUGUCUCCACCCGAGACUCAGUGAAAUUGAACUCGCUGUGAAGAUGCAGUGUACCCGCGGCAAGACGGAAAGACCCCGUGAACCUUUACUAUAGCUUGACACUGAACAUUGAGCCUUGAUGUGUAGGAUAGGUGGGAGGCUUUGAAGCGUGGACGCCAGUCUGCGUGGAGCCGACCUUGAAAUACCACCCUUUAAUGUUUGAUGUUCUAACGUGGACCCGUAAUCCGGGUUGCGGACAGUGUCUGGUGGGUAGUUUGACUGGGGCGGUCUCCUCCUAAAGAGUAACGGAGGAGCACGAAGGUUGGCUAAUCCUGGUCGGACAUCAGGAGGUUAGUGCAAUGGCAUAAGCCAGCUUGACUGCGAGCGUGACGGCGCGAGCAGGUGCGAAAGCAGGUCAUAGUGAUCCGGUGGUUCUGAAUGGAAGGGCCAUCGCUCAACGGAUAAAAGGUACUCCGGGGAUAACAGGCUGAUACCGCCCAAGAGUUCAUAUCGACGGCGGUGUUUGGCACCUCGAUGUCGGCUCAUCACAUCCUGGGGCUGAAGUAGGUCCCAAGGGUAUGGCUGUUCGCCAUUUAAAGUGGUACGCGAGCUGGGUUUAGAACGUCGUGAGACAGUUCGGUCCCUAUCUGCCGUGGGCGCUGGAAGACUGAGGGGGGCUGCUCCUAGUACGAGAGGACCGGAGUGGACGCAUCACUGGUGUUCGGGUUGUCAUGCCAAUGGCACUGCCCGGUAGCUAAAUGCGGAAAAGAUAAGUGCUGAAAGCAUCUAAGCACGAAACUUGCCCC